UACGUAGGGGACAAGCGUUGUCCGGAUUUACUGGGCGUAAAGAGCGCGCAGGCGGUCGAUCAAGUCGAGUGUGAAAGCCCCCGGCUCAACUGGGGAGGGUCAUUCGAUACUGAUCGACUCGAAGGCAGGAGAGGGUAGUGGAAUUCCCGGUGUAGUGGUGAAAUGCGUAGAUAUUGGGAGGAACACCAGUGGCGAAGGCGGCUCGCUGGGCCGGUUCUUGACGCUGAGGCGCGAAAGCUAGGGGAGCAAACGGG
Molecule: ribosomal RNA, 254 nt
Filed under: uncultured bacterium
Lineage: Bacteria
Description: partial 16S ribosomal RNA
Rfam family: Bacterial small subunit ribosomal RNA
Source: RNAcentral